RNAcentral lists this small RNA (566 nucleotides) under Pan troglodytes (chimpanzee). Its description in RNAcentral is "processed transcript". Lineage: Eukaryota; Metazoa; Chordata; Mammalia; Primates; Hominidae. The record is from RNAcentral.
CUUUAUUUCGGAGGACGCACUUCGAAGAUACCAGAUUUUAUGGGUCAUCCUUGGAUUUUGAAGCUUAUAACUGUGACAAAAAAUGUGGAGGGAAGAGAUUUGAAACAUGUGGAAGGAAAAUUUAGAUGCAAAAUCCACAAGUAUUCAAGUGAUUGUUAAAGAGGGAGGCCUGAAGUUGAUUCAGAUCCAAGACAAUGGCACCGGGAUCAGGAAAGAAGAUCUGGAUAUUGUAUGUGAAAGGUUCACUACUAGUAAACUGCAGUCCUUUGAGGAUUUAGCCAGUAUUUCUACCUAUGGCUUUCGAGGUGAGGCUUUGGCCAGCAUAAGCCAUGUGGCUCAUGUUACUAUUACAACGAAAACAGCUGAUGGAAAGUGUGCAUACAGAGCAAGUUACUCAGAUGGAAAACUGAAAGCCCCUCCUAAACCAUGUGCUGGCAAUCAAGGGACCCAGAUCACGGUGGAGGACCUUUUUUACAACAUAGCCACGAGGAGAAAAGCUUUAAAAAAUCCAAGUGAAGAAUAUGGGAAAAUUUUGGAAGUUGUUGGCAGGUAUUCAAUACACAAUG